AUGCACCCUAGAUGUCCUAUAUGUUAUCUUGGAGAAAGUCUUCAAGAAUGCCUGUGCCUGGAUUUAAACCUAACCUUGGACCCUUGCUAGCUGUGUGACCAUGGGGACCUUACAUUCUAAUGGCAGAAGACAACACAGGAAAGGGAGCUAGAAAAGAAGGAGGAGAGAAGAUACCCACAUAGAAGCAUGGAGACUCCCAAACAGAUCUGGGAGCAGAAGAAAGCAUGGCCACAUGAGAUCCUUCCACAAAAUGCAGCCCUCGAGAGCAAGUCACCACUGGGACAAAUGGGCCUCAAGAGUGCAGGAUGUUUCAAGGUUAUCUCAAGGGAACUCUUUUUUCCUAUGCUAUUACAGCAAGUGUUUUGACUAGAAUAAAACACUCCAGUGUCCCAGAGAGCAGCAGCAUUAGGCGCCCAUCCUUCCUUUCUUCAAACAGUCUCUUAUUCCACAGUCUCUGAACCAUUUGAU
Molecule: long non-coding RNA, 468 nt
Organism: Dromiciops gliroides (monito del monte)
Lineage: Eukaryota; Metazoa; Chordata; Mammalia; Microbiotheria; Microbiotheriidae
Exons: 3
Source: RefSeq, a predicted model, not a curated record